UGUGGGAGCCAGCCUGCUGGCGAUGACGGUGUGUCAGUCAAAUCAACGGUGAUGUUUGCACCGCUAUCGCCAGCAGGCUGGCUCCCACA
This 89-nucleotide unclassified non-coding RNA is filed under the name Pseudomonas granadensis. Lineage: Bacteria; Pseudomonadati; Pseudomonadota; Gammaproteobacteria; Pseudomonadales; Pseudomonadaceae. The record is from RNAcentral.